RNAcentral lists this unclassified non-coding RNA (382 nucleotides) under soil metagenome. Its description in RNAcentral is "partial contains 5.8S ribosomal RNA, internal transcribed spacer 2, and large subunit ribosomal RNA". The stretch from base 1 to 120 matches the Rfam family "5.8S ribosomal RNA", at positions 35 to 154 of the family's 154-position model. The record is from RNAcentral.
GAUGAAGAACGCAGUGAAAUGCGAUAAGUAAUGUGAAUUGCAGAAUUCAGUGAAUCAUCGAAUCUUUGAACGCACCUUGCACCCUUUGGCAUUCCGAAGGGUAUGCUCGUUUGAGUGUCAUUGUACUCUCACACUUCCGAUCUUUCGAUUGGGAGCGGUGGACUUGGGUGUUGCUGCUUUACUGUGGCUCACCUCAAAUGGAGUAGUGCAACUCUUGGUUGGACAUAGUACGGCGUGAUAAGUGUCUUCGCCGGCGCCUCUGUAAGGAGGGUGGCCGAUCGGGAGCUCUGUGCUUCAAACCGUCUUCGGACAAUCUUUGACAACUUGACCUCAAAUCGAGUAGGACUACCCGCUGAACUUAAGCAUAUCAAUAAGCGGAGGA